GCGAGUGCUCUGCCUCUGAGCCACAACCCCAGCCCCGAUUUUUCUGUUUUUCUUUUGAUUAGUACUAGGACGCAAAAGAAAACAAUCCCUGUGCUUUCUGCCUUUGUGGCAACCCAAACUGAAUUGGGGAAUAGAUCU
This is a small nucleolar RNA of Spermophilus dauricus (Daurian ground squirrel), 138 nucleotides long. Lineage: Eukaryota; Metazoa; Chordata; Mammalia; Rodentia; Sciuridae. The record is from Ensembl.